RNAcentral lists this unclassified non-coding RNA (211 nucleotides) under Hevea brasiliensis (rubber tree). Lineage: Eukaryota; Viridiplantae; Streptophyta; Magnoliopsida; Malpighiales; Euphorbiaceae. The record is from RNAcentral.
GAGUUUUCCACAUGUUCUUGUUUAUGAUUGAUAGGCUAAGUACUGUUCACUGCUAUCCUACUUGGGUAGGAAUAAUAAGUAGAUGCAUGAGAAUUGCACUAACUAUAGCAGAACCUAAAAUGGUCGCACCUUAACUUUAGAGGGGCGUAUUUUUCUACUUACGCUGCAAAGAUGGACUGUUAAUAAGGCCCUUAAACCACAAUGUAGUCAG